RNAcentral lists this ribosomal RNA (253 nucleotides) under uncultured bacterium. RNAcentral's name for it is "partial 16S ribosomal RNA". It matches the Rfam family "Bacterial small subunit ribosomal RNA", at positions 524 to 776 of the family's 1533-position model. The record is from RNAcentral.
UACAGAGGGGGCAAGCGUUGUUCGGAAUUACUGGGCGUAAAGGGCGCGUAGGCGGCCUGUUAAGUCGAACGUGAAAUCCCCGGGCUCAACCCGGGAACUGCGUCCGAUACUGGCAGGCUUGAAUCCGGGAGAGGGAUGUGGAAUUCCAGGUGUAGCGGUGAAAUGCGUAGAUAUCGGGAGGAACACCAGUGGCGAAGGCGACUCCCUGGCCUGUUAUUGACGCUGAGGCGCGAAAGCUAGGGGAGCAAACGGG